Molecule: long non-coding RNA, 397 nt
Filed under: Carica papaya (papaya)
Lineage: Eukaryota; Viridiplantae; Streptophyta; Magnoliopsida; Brassicales; Caricaceae
Description: long non-coding RNA (CPAP_LNC004596)
Source: RNAcentral
GGUGCGGUGGCAGUCAGCGGUCGGCUCCCUUCUCCGGUGACUGGUUAUUCUUCUUCGGCGGGAGGCUGGCGACUAGGGUUUGAGUUCAGUAUGAUACGAAAUAUUUAUACCAAUCUUGCAUUAAUUUGGAUCGUUCAAUCGCGCAUAAGGAGGAAACGAAUCUGUACUGUUCAUCGCGUUUGAUCUCAACCGUCCAAUCACGUUUAAGAAAGAAAUGAAUCUGAACCAUUCAUCGCGAUUUGAUUCCGACUGUCUGAUCGCGUUUAAAGAAAAACAAAUCUGGACUGUCCACGAACGUGGGAUUGAUCCUUGGCCGUUCGAUCGCAGGGCACGCGGAUCGUCUACGUGACAUUCGGCGUGGCACUAAUGUCAGCGUGCCUUGCCACGCUACGUGUUU